GUCCGAUUAAUCAAUCAAUUUGUAGCAUGGAAGAAUGUAGUACAACAUGAGAAACCCCAGCUGCAUUAGCAGCACAAGCAUAAAUACAUCAGUGAAUUCCAAUACCAUAAUAUUCUCCAAGUAUUAACAGGCACAUCAGAGAAGCUUUGAUAUAAUAUGACGAGAAGCCCAGAAUGCUUUAGUGGCAGCCCUAAGAAUUACUGGGUUUUGGUAUAUCCCAAUGGCAGUUGCCCC
RNAcentral lists this unclassified non-coding RNA (234 nucleotides) under Hevea brasiliensis (rubber tree). The record is from RNAcentral. Lineage: Eukaryota; Viridiplantae; Streptophyta; Magnoliopsida; Malpighiales; Euphorbiaceae.